RNAcentral lists this ribosomal RNA (497 nucleotides) under uncultured bacterium. RNAcentral's name for it is "partial 16S ribosomal RNA". It matches the Rfam family "Bacterial small subunit ribosomal RNA", at positions 28 to 507 of the family's 1533-position model. The record is from RNAcentral.
GAUGAACGCUGGCGGCGUGCCUAAUACAUGCAAGUCGAGCGAACGGACGAGAAGCUUGCUUCUCUGAUGCUAGCGGCGGACGGGUGAGUAACACGUGGAUAACCUACCUAUAAGACUGGGAUAACUUCGGGAAACCGGAGCUAAUACCGGAUGAUAUUUUGAACCGCAUGGUUCAAAAGUGAAAGACGGUCUUGCUGUCACUUAUAGAUGGAUCCGCGCUGCAUUAGCUAGUUGGUAAGGUAACGGCUUACCAAGGCAACGAUGCAUAGCCGACCUGAGGGGGUGAUCGGCCACACUGGAACUGAGACACGGUCCAGACUCCUACGGGAGGCAGCAGUAGGGAAUCUUCCGCAAUGGGCGAAAGCCUGACGGAGCAACGCCGCGUGAGUGAUGAAGGUCCUCCGAUCGUAAAACCCUGUUAUUAGGGAAGAACAUAUGUGUAAGUAACUGUGCACAUCUUGACGGUACCUAAUCAGAAAGCCACGGCUAACUACGUG